UUCUUCACUAGAAGAAACAGAUCCUGCUGAAUGAAAGCACAUAAUGGAGCCCUAGGGGUGAUCUGAGAAACAACUAUAAUUAUCUCUUCUCUGCUUACUGCCAUACUUAGGAAGGAGUCUUUGGACUAGGCAGAAAGUGAUCAAUUUCCUCUCAUAUUACCCUCAACCUGCGGCCUAUUUGUACUCCUGAUUGGAUAAAAGGGUUAAGAAGAACAAAAUGGUUGGAGAGAUUUUUGAAUUUUUAUGAUAAUUAUUUGGUGUCCCAGGAUCUACUGAAUGUCUCAAGAGAGGAACUUUUUUCCACUUCACAAAUUCUAAUUUUUGACUUGAUAAAGAAUGAUGAAUAUUUGUCACACAGAUAUUUAAAUGGAAUCAGGGCUGUAUAUAACCAUGACAUAAUACUUUGUCAAAAAGUGAAAAGUUAAUCUGGUUGAAGGUAUUUUUACCUGGCAUAUGGAGAAGAUGAUGACAAUAAUGUGGAACUUGAUUAGACAUCAACAGAGACUCAAUGCCUCCUGGAAAACACCUGAGAAAUGAUUGAAGCUCGCUCUGGUCUUGCCUGGAAUCAUGCAUAACAUUUGUUGCUGCCUGCAUGUGGAUUCAUUUUAGCAGUUUAUCAAUUUGGACAGGGAAUUUUGAAUAAAAAAUUUUGGCAGUCAUUAUAGUGACUCUUCUGAGACUGAAAAUUCAGGUAACAAGGAAAAUCAGUGACUCUUUCUCUCUGCUUUCUUCAAAACACAAAUAAUCCAAUGAUGUAUAGGCUGCAUUGCCCUUUGAUUUGUUACCUUAGAGAUCAUUACAUGUUAGUACAUAAAGAAACUUCCCAAUCUUCUUUUAUAGCAUCCAGGUACUCCAAUGUGUA
Molecule: long non-coding RNA, 862 nt
Filed under: Homo sapiens (human)
Lineage: Eukaryota; Metazoa; Chordata; Mammalia; Primates; Hominidae
Description: HSALNT0347325
Source: RNAcentral